Molecule: ribosomal RNA, 253 nt
Filed under: uncultured bacterium
Lineage: Bacteria
Description: partial 16S ribosomal RNA
Rfam family: Bacterial small subunit ribosomal RNA
Source: RNAcentral
UACGUAGGGGGCUAGCGUUGUCCGGAAUCAUUGGGCGUAAAGAGCGUGUAGGCGGUCCGGUAAGUCCGCUGUGAAAGUCGGGGGCUCAACCCUCGAAUGCCGGUGGAUACUGUCGGGCUAGAGUGCGGAAGAGGCGAGUGGAAUUCCUGGUGUAGCGGUGAAAUGCGCAGAUAUCAGGAGGAACACCAAUUGCGAAGGCAGCUCGCUGGGACGUAACUGACGCUGAGACGCGAAGGCGUGGGGAGCGAACGGG